Molecule: ribosomal RNA, 429 nt
Filed under: Chloroflexota bacterium
Lineage: Bacteria; Bacillati; Chloroflexota
Description: Chloroflexi bacterium partial 16S ribosomal RNA
Rfam family: Bacterial small subunit ribosomal RNA
Source: RNAcentral
UGGGGAAUAUUGCACAAUGGGCGCAAGCCUGAUGCAGCCAUGCCGCGUGUAUGAAGAAGGCCUUCGGGUUGUAAAGUACUUUCAGCGGGGAGGAAGGGAGUAAAGUUAAUACCUUUGCUCAUUGACGUUACCCGCAGAAGAAGCACCGGCUAACUCCGUGCCAGCAGCCGCGGUAAUACAGAGGGUGCAAGCGUUAAUCGGAAUUACUGGGCGUAAAGCGCACGCAGGCGGUUUGUUAAGUCAGAUGUGAAAUCCCCGGGCUCAACCUGGGAACUGCAUCUGAUACUGGCAAGCUUGAGUCUCGUAGAGGGGGGUAGAAUUCCAGGUGUAGCGGUGAAAUGCGUAGAGAUCUGGAGGAAUACCGGUGGCGAAGGCGGCCCCCUGGACAAAGACUGACGCUCAGGUGCGAAAGCGUGGGGAGCAAACAGG